UGUGACAGAAUAGUGUGAUAAAUUUAAGAUUUAUUUAUAAAGUUUAUCUUUCCUUAGAA
This 59-nucleotide transfer RNA is filed under the name Flabellotrichalus sp. A00180. RNAcentral's name for it is "tRNA-Leu". RNAcentral also lists the same sequence under 2 other names. Lineage: Eukaryota; Metazoa; Arthropoda; Insecta; Coleoptera; Lycidae. The record is from RNAcentral.